RNAcentral lists this ribosomal RNA (467 nucleotides) under uncultured bacterium. RNAcentral's name for it is "partial 16S ribosomal RNA". It matches the Rfam family "Bacterial small subunit ribosomal RNA", at positions 28 to 507 of the family's 1533-position model. The record is from RNAcentral.
GACGAACGCUGGCGGCGUGCUUAACACAUGCAAGUCGAACGGAAAGGCCCUGCUUUUGUGGGGUGCUCGAGUGGCGAACGGGUGAGUAACACGUGAGUAACCUGCCCUUGACUUUGGGAUAACUUCAGGAAACUGGGGCUAAUACCGGAUAGGAGCUCCUGCUGCAUGGUGGGGGUUGGAAAGUUUCGGCGGUUGGGGAUGGACUCGCGGCUUAUCAGCUUGUUGGUGGGGUAGUGGCUUACCAAGGCUUUGACGGGUAGCCGGCCUGAGAGGGUGACCGGCAAAUUGGGAACGAGAUAACGCCCCGAACUCUUAGGGAGGCAGGAGGGGGGAAUAGUGGAAAAUGGGCGGAAGGCUGAAGGAGGAAAGGCGGGUGGGGGGUGAACGCCUUCGGGGUUGAAACCGCUUUCGCCUGGGACGGAGCGUGAGUGGCGGUAAUGGGUAAAGAAGGCACGGGUAAAUUCGGG